This 245-nucleotide ribosomal RNA is filed under the name uncultured bacterium. RNAcentral describes it as "partial small subunit ribosomal RNA". It matches the Rfam family "Bacterial small subunit ribosomal RNA", at positions 26 to 285 of the family's 1533-position model. The record is from RNAcentral.
AGAAUCAACGCUGGCGGCGUGCCUAACACAUGCAAGUCGCACGAGAAAGUGGAGCAGUCCACGAGUAAAGUGGCGCACGGGUGAGUAACACGUGAAUAAUCUACCUCCGAGUGGGGAAUAACUGAGAGAAAUCUUAGCUAAUACCGCAUAAUACCCACGGGUCAAAGCAGCAAUGCGCUUGGAGAGGAGUUCGCGGCCGAUUAGCUAGUUGGCGGGGUAAUGGCCCACCAAGGCGAUGAUCGGUA